Molecule: ribosomal RNA, 253 nt
Filed under: uncultured bacterium
Lineage: Bacteria
Description: partial 16S ribosomal RNA
Rfam family: Bacterial small subunit ribosomal RNA
Source: RNAcentral
UACAUGGGGUGCAAACGUUGCUCGGAAUCAUUGGGCGUAAAGCGCGCGUAGGCGGUUACUUAAGUUGGAUGUGAAAGCCCUCGGCUUAACUGAGGAAGUGCAUCCAAAACUGAGUAGCUAGAGUACGAAAGAGGGUCGCGGAAUUCCCGGUGUAGAGGUGAAAUGCGUAGAUAUCUGGAGGAACACCGGUGGCGAAGGCGGCAUUCUGGACCGACAUUGACGCUGAGGAGCGAAAGCCAGGGGAGCAAACGGG